This 397-nucleotide ribosomal RNA is filed under the name uncultured bacterium. RNAcentral's name for it is "bacterial SSU rRNA". It matches the Rfam family "Bacterial small subunit ribosomal RNA", at positions 362 to 776 of the family's 1533-position model. The record is from RNAcentral.
UAUUGGACGCUGGGCGAAAGCCUGAUCCAGCAAUGCCGCGUGAGUGAUGAAGGCCUUAGGGUUGUAAAGCUCUUUUACCCGGGAUGAUAAUGACAGUACCGGGAGAAUAAGCUCCGGCUAACUCCGUGCCGGCAGCCGCGGUAAUACGGAGGGAGCUUGCGUUGUUCGGAAUUACUGGGCGUAAAGCGCACGUAGGCGGCUUUGUAAGUCAGAGGUGAAAGCCUGGAGCUCAACUCCAGAACUGCCUUUGAGACUGCAUCGCUUGAAUCCCGGAGAGGUGAGUGGAAUUCCGAGUGUAGAGGUGAAAUUCGUAGAUAUUCGGAAGAACACCAGUGGCGAAGGCGGCUCACUGGACUGGUAUUGACGCUGAGGUGCGAAAGCGUGGGGAGCAAACAGG